UGGGGAAUCUUGCGCAAUGGGCGAAAGCCUGACGCAGCAACGCCGCGUGCGGGAAGACGGCCUUAGGGUUGUAAACCGCUUUCAGCAGGGACGAAAAUGACGGUACCUGCAGAAGAAGCUCCGGCUAACUACGUGCCAGCAGCCGCGGUAAUACGUAGGGAGCGAGCGUUGUCCGGAUUUAUUGGGCGUAAAGAGCUCGUAGGCGGUUUGGUAAGUCGGGUGUGAAAGCUCCGGGCUCAACUCGGAGAGGUCACUCGAUACUGCCAUGACUGGAGUCCGGUAGGGGGGUGUGGAAUUCCCAGUGUAGCGGUGAAAUGCGCAGAUAUUGGGAGGAACACCAAUGGCGAAGGCAGCACCCUGGGCCGGUACUGACGCUGAGGAGCGAAAGCGUGGGGAGCAAACAGG
Molecule: ribosomal RNA, 405 nt
Filed under: Bacillota bacterium
Lineage: Bacteria; Bacillati; Bacillota
Description: Firmicutes bacterium partial 16S ribosomal RNA
Rfam family: Bacterial small subunit ribosomal RNA
Source: RNAcentral